UUUUAUGUCAUGUCAAACUAAGUUGAAAGCAUUCUACAGUUUAUUUCUUUGUAUUUCCCUAACACAGUUCGUUUUGUAUAGAUGUUAUCGGUGUCGUUGACACCGUGCUUUACACUCAGCAAAACUCUGGAGGGAAGAAGCCACAGAGUGUAAAUCAAUUUCAAUCUCAACAUAAUCUGCUUCUCUCUUUUAGAAUAUGGUGAAGCGCGGCCAUUGCGGAACUUAGAUAUAUUAUGAAAAUAGCUAUGGAAACAAGUGAACUUCGAUAAAUCAGGACAGCUGCUAGCAGCUUAUGGCUAUGGGGAUCCAAAAUUUAAGUCAUGAAUUUACACCUAACAAUGCGACGUGUACAAUUUUGGAGUUGAUAGGUUAGAACUUUUGACUGGCCACCAGUCCAAUGACAGGUGAGACUAAUUUGAUACAUAUCACCUUCUGUUUGAACUAAACUUGCAUAAUUGAUAUAAGGCUUAGAGUCCGAGUUUUGGAAUUCGAGAGAGCAUUCCAACGCGUUGCGACUGUGCAGAAAACAAUUUUUGUUGUACAAUCACAACUAAUUCUAUCCAUCUUAAAGUUGUGGUUUUUCUAAUGGUUUUGAUCUCAAUGGAUUUGCAUUUGCUUAUAGUUUAUGGUCUAUUUUGUGUUUUAUGCUCUCGAUGAACUCGAUGAUGUUAUGGAAAUCAGAGAUAAUGAGGCGGAAAUACGUAUUGCUGCAUAUGUUCGGCAACUGCGCGAUAAUGAGGCUGAAGUACUUAUUGUUGCUGGAACACCAAUGAAUUCACCACUAUGUACAUCUUAAGAACUGUCUAAUACGUAUAGCUGCAGUAAAUUGUUUAACUUUUUAAAUUUUUUAGGAAAUCGG
This is a long non-coding RNA of Vicia villosa (hairy vetch), 859 nucleotides long. RefSeq lists it as uncharacterized. Lineage: Eukaryota; Viridiplantae; Streptophyta; Magnoliopsida; Fabales; Fabaceae. The record is from RefSeq and is a predicted model, not a curated record. The transcript is spliced from 3 exons.